This 406-nucleotide ribosomal RNA is filed under the name uncultured bacterium. Its description in RNAcentral is "partial 16S ribosomal RNA". It matches the Rfam family "Bacterial small subunit ribosomal RNA", at positions 28 to 526 of the family's 1533-position model. The record is from RNAcentral.
GAUGAACGCUAGCUACAGGCUUAACACAUGCAAGUCGAGGGACCGGCGCACGGGUGAGUAACACGUAUCCAACCUGCCCUUCACCCGUGGACAGCCUUUCGAAAGAAAGACUAAUACCCGAUGCACAGGAUGGGGAUGCGUUCCAUUAGGUUCUUGGUGAGGUAACGUCUCACCAAGCCUUCGAUGGAUAGGCGUUCUGAGAGGAAGGUCCCCCACAUUGGAACGGAGGCGCGGUCCAAACUCCUACGGAAGGCAGCAGUGAGUAAUAUUGGUCAAUGGGCGUUAGCCUGGCCCAGCCAAGUAGCGGAAAGGAUGAAGGCUUAUGGGUCGUAAACUUCUUUUAUAGAAGAAUGUGUAUUAUAUGAAUAAGGAUCGGCUAACUACGUGCCAGCAGCCGCGGUAAUUC